UUCCCGUGAAGAGGCGGGAAUGCACAAAUAAGACGAGAAGACCCUAUGGAGCUUUAACUAACCAACCCAAAGAGAAUAGAUUUAACCAUUAAGGAAUAACAACAAUCUCCAUGAGUUGGUAGUUUCGGUUGGGGUGACCUCGGAGAAUAAAAAAUCCUCCGAGCGAUUUUAAAGACUAGACCCACAAGUCAAAUCACUCUAUCGCUCAUUGAUCCAAAAACUUGAUCAACGGAACAAGUUACCCUA
RNAcentral lists this ribosomal RNA (246 nucleotides) under Bos taurus (domestic cattle). RNAcentral describes it as "partial 16S rRNA". Lineage: Eukaryota; Metazoa; Chordata; Mammalia; Artiodactyla; Bovidae. The record is from RNAcentral.